AUACGGGAUGUUACUCAGUUACUUGGUAUAACUGCGGUAAUUCUGGAGCUAAUACAUGCGACUCAGCCCCGAGCCUUGCGGCGAGGGGCGCUUUUAUUAAAUCAAAACCAAACGGCCUCGGCCGUCACUUUUGCCGAUUCUGAAUAACUUUUAGCUGAUCGCAGGGCUUCAUGCCGGCGACGUAUCUCUCUAAGGUGUGCCCUAUCAACUGUCGACUGUGGCAUAGACGCCCACAAUGGUGGUGACGGGUAACGGGGGAUCAGGGUUUGAUUCCGGAGAGGGAGCCUGAGAAACGGCUACCACUUCUAAGGAAGGCAGCAGGCACGCAAAUUACCCACUGGCCGAAGGUCGAGGUAGUGACGUGGAAUAACUAUACGGGACUCAUCCGAGGCCCCGUAAUAGGAAUGAGAACAAUCUAAAUCCUUUAACGAGGACCCAUUGGAGGGCAAGUCUGGUGCCAGCAGCCGCGGUAAUUCCAGCUCCAAUAGCGUAUGUUAAUGUUGCUGCAGUUAAAAAGCUCGUAGUUGGAUCUCGGCGGGUAGGGGGCGGUUCGUUGAUCUGACGCUACUGCCCCGCUCUUACCCGUGAAUCUCUUUGGCGGAGGCUUUUUCCAGGGUGCUCUUCACCGGGUGUCG
Molecule: ribosomal RNA, 635 nt
Filed under: Tisbe sp.
Lineage: Eukaryota; Metazoa; Arthropoda; Copepoda; Harpacticoida; Tisbidae
Description: SSU rRNA
Rfam family: Eukaryotic small subunit ribosomal RNA
Source: RNAcentral